This 481-nucleotide ribosomal RNA is filed under the name uncultured bacterium. RNAcentral's name for it is "partial 16S ribosomal RNA". It matches the Rfam family "Bacterial small subunit ribosomal RNA", at positions 28 to 507 of the family's 1533-position model. The record is from RNAcentral.
GAUGAACGCUGGCGGCGUGCUUAACACAUGCAAGUCGAACGAAGCACUUUAUUUGAUUUCCUUCGGGACUGAUUAUUUUGUGACUGAGUGGCGGACGGGUGAGUAACGCGUGGGUAACCUGCCUUGUACAGGGGGAUAACAGGUGGAAACGGCUGCUAAUACCGCAUAAGCGCACAGCAUCGCAUGAUGCAUGGGGAAAAAGUCCGGUGGUAUAAGAUGGACCCGCGUUGGAUUAGCUAGUUGGUGAGGUAACGGCCCACCAAGGCGACGAUCCAUAGCCGAGCUGAGAGACUGACCGGCCACAUUGGGACUGAGACACGGCCCAAACUCCUACGGGAGGCAGCAGUGGGGAAUAUUGCACAAUGGGCGAAAGCCUGAUGCAGCGACGCCGCGUGAGCGAAGAAGUAUUUCGGUAUGUAAAGCUCUAUCAGCAGGGAAGAUAAUGACGGUACCUGACUAAGAAGCACCGGCUAAAUACGUG